UGCCAGCAGCCGCGGUAACACGUAGGCACCAAGCGUUAUCCGGAUUUAUUGGGUUUAAAGGGUGCGCAGGCGGGACGAUAAGUCAGUGGUGAAAUCCUACAGCUUAACUGUAGAACUGCCAUUGAUACUGUUGUUCUUGAGUACAGUUGAGGUAGGCGGAAUGUGUCAUGUAGCGGUGAAAUGCUUAGAUAUGACACAGAACACCGAUUGCGAAGGCAGCUUACUAAACUGUUACUGACGCUGAGGCACGAAAGCGUGGGGAGCGAACAGGAUUAGAUA
Molecule: ribosomal RNA, 279 nt
Filed under: uncultured bacterium
Lineage: Bacteria
Description: partial 16S ribosomal RNA
Rfam family: Bacterial small subunit ribosomal RNA
Source: RNAcentral